CUCGUGGCACAGCUUUGAUUACUCUGGUCGUUCGUCUUGUCCAGAGAAACAUUACAUUGCUGGCCUUGAGAGAUCCUUAAGCAGCGAUCACACCAAAGAUUAUAUUUACCACAUUGAAGGAGCUCAAUGUUGCAAAGGUACAGGUGGUUAUAGUGAUCGCGCAUCUCAGUGUUUGAAUGCAAACUGGGUAAGAAGUUUUGAUAGAAAUAACCAAUGGAACAUGUGUCCCAGUGGAUAUUUCCUCAGUGGCCUGGAGCGGAGUGGAAGUAUCAAAGACGGUAGAAAUUUCCUCCACAACAUUGAGUAUGGAUACUGCUGUAGACCAUAUGAUGCUCCUUCUGGAUAUAAACAUUGUUACAAGGCAAAUGUUUGGGCUCAUUUUAAUCAUAAUGAUCACGGGAUGAUUUCGUGUGGUCGCCCUGGUUACUACAUUACUGGUAUAUAUCGAUCAGUGUGUGAUUUGGUCUAUUGCAUCGAAGAGUUUAUGUGCUGCUCCAUGUCCAUGAUGUCAUAAUCAGGUUCAUCGACGGGUUUACAACUUGACGAAAACUAGCACGUACAAAAAUGAUGACCAAGAUAAAAUUUGACUAUCCUGAUUAUAGAG
This 604-nucleotide long non-coding RNA is filed under the name Dendronephthya gigantea. RNAcentral describes it as "uncharacterized LOC114541972". The record is from RNAcentral. Lineage: Eukaryota; Metazoa; Cnidaria; Anthozoa; Malacalcyonacea; Nephtheidae.